Oncorhynchus keta (chum salmon) is the source of this 678-nucleotide long non-coding RNA. RefSeq lists it as uncharacterized. Lineage: Eukaryota; Metazoa; Chordata; Actinopteri; Salmoniformes; Salmonidae. The transcript has 3 exons. The record is from RefSeq and is a predicted model, not a curated record.
AGAAAGCAAGGUAAUAACUAGACAGAGAUCAAGGUAAUAACUAGUCAGACGGGAGAGAGAGAGCAAGGUAAUAACUAGACAGAGAGCAAGGUAAUAACUAGACAGAGACGGGAGACAGAGAGCAAGGUAAAAACUAGACAGAGACGGGAGACAGAGAACAAGGUAAAAACUAGACAGAGACGGGAGACAGAGAGCAAGGUAAUAACUAGACAGAGAGCAAGGUAAUAACUAGACAGAGAGCAAGGUAAUAACUAGACAGAGAGCAAGGUAAUAACUAGACAGAGACGGGAGACAGAGAGCAAGGUAAAACUAGACAGAGAUCAAGGUAAUAACUAGUCAGACGGGAGAGAGAGAGCAAGGUAAAUACUAGACAGAGACGGGAGAGAGAGAGCAAGGUAAAAACUAGACAGAGACGGGAGAGAGAGUGCAAGGUAAAAACUAGACAGAGACAGGAGACAGAGAGCAAGGUAAAUACUAGACAGAGAUGGGAGAGAGAGAGCAAGGUAAUAACUAGACAGAGAUCAAGGUAAUAACUCGUCAGACGGGAGAGAGAGAGCAAGGUAAUAACUAGACAGAGAGCAAGGUAAAUACUAGACAGAGACAGGAGAGAGAGAGCAAGGUAAAAACUAGACAGAGAUGGGAGAGAGAGAGCAAGAUAAUAACUAGACAGAGAGCAAG